GGAGCUGACAUCGACUUCCGAGCGCGGAUCGAACCUUCGAUCGCGCCGAUUUGCAUAGCGGCCCCGCGCCCGACUGCAGCCCCCCGCGCAGGCCGGCCGGGCGCUCCCGGGAGCCGUCCUCGCUCCGUGCCCGGGAGGGUGGAGCUGUCACGGGCGCGCGGCGGGCGCGAAGCGAGGGAGUCGAUCUCCGCCGGCACCAGGCUGAGCCAGGGCGCCUGGGGCCCUGCUGCGGACCGUGCGGAGGACAGGGGCAGAUCCCGAACGCGAACCCCACGGCGGGCCCCGACGCCACACGCCCUCGCGGCUUGUAGCCACAGCGAAUUAUUGCUCAUUUGAUACCAAGAAUUCUAUUGACCACGCUUUCGUUGGAGAGAGAAUUCUAACUGCUAGCUACUCUGUCCUCACCAGAGCUUGGGUGGAGAGGAGCCCUCCACAGGCUGAAACCAGUGCUCAGAGCCCUCUGCUCUGAAGCCCAUGGAGAUGCACUCAGUACACUGGCCCACGUGGACAUUCGUAGAAACCUGCUUGCUAUUCUGCUGGCCAGCUUGCUAUUCUGCUGGCCGCCUCUUUGGAACGGAGCUGCCAGCUCAUUUGCCUCUCAUAACCUUCCUGGCAACUUCUUGCCAGCUCUGCCAUAUUAGGUGAUGAAAUGAUGCAGACAGUAGAUCCUGCUCAAUUCUAUGGUCACCAGCACCACUACCCGCAGCGUGGACACUGGGAGAAAUCAUUAACACCUUCCUGCCUCAAAAAAAGUAUCUAGAUGAGUGGAAUCAUGGUCUGAAUAUAAUUUGCUAAAUUUCACCGUACUAGCCAACCCCACCCUGUCCAGACUCCAGAUCACUGCAGCAGGGUAUAGCAUGGGAGCUGGGCACAGUAAGGUCUGCUGUCCCCUGCACACAACGGGCACCCAGCGUCCAUGGAAGGCCUGACCUCUGACCCUGGGCCAGCUGCUCCAGGCUGGGGCUGCCCCAGCUACAGAGAGAGCCCAGAAGGUUUGCUUCCCGGGAAGCUGCUGGCCAAAGAUUCUGCCUUUGCUCUGGAAGGAGCCAGUGCCACAAAACCCAGGCCAGUUUGUCACCCAUAUGCCUGUCAUUGUCCUGGUCCUGUCCUGAGAGGCCUCCAUUCUUGCAAGAUGGGGGGAAACCACCCUCCCAGGAUGUACUGGCCCCGGGACUGGGCAUCUGAAGGGCCUGUCAGCAUUUCCAGGAGCAAGGGAUCCGGUCCAUCCCCACAGCUCCUGAAGCCCCGGCCCCACAGACUUGGGUGUGCUUGGCGGAACUGUGUCCCUGGAGCCUCCGUGGAGAACUGCAUGCCACAGCUCCCCAGGUUGGGUUCAGAUCGGAGAGGAAGGUCAAGGGCCAGUUCCACGAAGAGCGCUGGGCCUCCAACAGCAUCCGCUCCCAACAGAGGCGUAUUCAGGGGUUGAGAUCAAUAUUCCAAGGCACUGGGAAUGUCCAGUGUGAAGCUAGAUCACUUGUGAAGCUCCCAGGGUGCCACCCUUCCUCUGGGCUCCAGGACGGUGGGGAGUGUGCACGAGAUACAUACUGUGAGCUCUGUUUUUGUUUUCAACAUAGAUAACCCUGGUGUGUCAUCAGCACGUACCCAGAGCAGUGUCGUUCCCCAGUGUGUACACUGCCCACAGAGACUCCCGGCUCAGCCCAGAUCGACAGUCUUCCUGAGAGCCUCCACGGCCAGAUGACCCACCCACGCUCAACCAGACCCGGCAGUUACUGCUCCCUUCCUGGCCAGUGGUGGAUCUGCGAGGCUGCAGAGCCAGCCAGAAAUCUUCCUUGCUGCUGAGGUCCAGAAAGCAAUAAAGCAGUAAUAACCUCAGAGUUAUUUAGGGGAACAAGAUCUGAGACUUGGGCUUGAGUUAAAGUCAGGGCCACAUCCUCUGGCAUUUCUUUGGAAGAAGGCAGCACUGAGAACUGCUGGCUGGCCGGUCGCUGCAGCCCAGUGGAGACAAGGGAGCUCUCCUCUGACUGACUGCUCCUUAGAGGACCAAAAAGGCACUCUGACGCCUGCCCAGCAGGGGCCUCUGAGACUCCCUACACCAGUGCCUCCCAGCCACCCAACUGGCCUCCUUCCUAGCCUGCCAGGCCAAUGGAACAAGCAGAACUCAAUAGUAAAUUAUUUUGUUGAGCCCUCUGUCUUUUUAUGAAAAUAAAAGCCAACACUUUGUCAUUUUUAAUCACAUAAGCAGACAAUAAAUCUAAUUUUGAUAUUGAUUUUUUUCCAGAAUCAAGUGAUUUUUUUUGCCCUGUCUGUUGUGUUUCCUUU
Molecule: long non-coding RNA, 2280 nt
Organism: Cavia porcellus (domestic guinea pig)
Lineage: Eukaryota; Metazoa; Chordata; Mammalia; Rodentia; Caviidae
Exons: 3
Source: RefSeq, a predicted model, not a curated record